Molecule: long non-coding RNA, 2641 nt
Organism: Medicago truncatula (barrel medic)
Lineage: Eukaryota; Viridiplantae; Streptophyta; Magnoliopsida; Fabales; Fabaceae
Exons: 3
Source: RefSeq, a predicted model, not a curated record
CUCUCCUAACAGAACCCAUCUUCUUCCUCUUUUCCCUUAACCAAAUCAAACUCUCUCUCUCUCUCUCUCUCUCGAUCUCUCGAUUACUUGAUCCUUCCAUCAAGCUAUUACCAUGUUCCUCUCUCUCUCUCUCUCUCUCUCUCUCUCUUUGCUAUGCACGUUUUCCUCUCUCUCGCCCCCACUGCUCUCAUCUGCUUCUUCUAUCGAUCUCAGAUUAAAGAAGAGUUUUUGAAGAUACAGUGAGUGCUCAAAUUUCGAAAUCGUUGGGACUUAAUACAUUUGAAAAUGUUGAGGAUUCUGAUGAUGAUGAAACACAACUUGGCUAUGGUAAUCACAUUCCUUUCUUCCAUGUGACUAGAGAUUCUUCAAAUUCUUAUGUAAGGAUAACGAUUAAUUGUUUGAUACUAUUUUUUUUUUUUUCUUUUUCAUUUUGUAAUUUGGAAUCAUGCCUCAGACAAUCUCUAAUAUGUCCUUAGUUUUUUUAUUGUUUGUUCUUUAUUACUUCUCUCCACUGUUGAAUCGAUGUCGCCAAAUGCUUUAUCAAAUUUGGCACUGAUCUCAUCCGUCAAAAUUGUUGGAAAAACAUGGUAAUUCUUUUAUUCCUUCCUCUGUUCUUGUUAGAGUAAUAUUUACUUUUUAUUUUGUGGAGAAGUUUGGUUCCAUUACUUCAACUCAAAAAUAAAGUUUGGUUCUAUUACGGAUAAAUUUUAUCAAAGCUGUUUAUUUAAUCAGUGUGUUAAUUAUGACUUAUGAGACGCCAAGAAAUGUUGGGCAGCCAAAACAUUUCAAUUUAGCUCACUCUUCUUCGGCUUCACUCUUCCUCGUUAAUAAUGACAUCUUGCCUCAUCUCUUAGCUACAGCUAUAAGCGUUUUUCUUGCACCAACAGGUAAUUUACCGAUCUGUUGAUAUCAUUAUGGAUAUGUCAAUAUAAAUAAUCUUGAAUCCUUGAUUAAUGAAUAACAUUGAAUGUUAAUAACUUCAUCAGCACACAGAAUUGCAGAUAAAUUAAUCAUAACACAUAGAUGAAGCAGACUAAAGGUAAGGAUUGUUUUUUUUUUUUUAAUCGGCUAAUAAUACUAAUCAUUCACGAUCUUGAAAGGACGAGCAAAACAGAUACAACCAAGAAACGCCUGCCCUAUAUAUGCAGUAAAACUGAAAACCCGAAGGAAAAAAGACCAAAAACUUUCAACGAGUAACCAGCAGACACGCCUCAAACAAGACUAAAUACGCCUCAAACAAGACUAAUACAUCAUGUUGCUGUUUUUUGUGCAAAUACAAAGACUAUAACAUCAACAUCAACAACAAAAACAACCCUUUUGUUGAUGAUUUAAUAGACCCUCUUUGCAAGUUGAACCCAAGAGAAACCUGAAUUUGUCAAAUCCAUGCCAGCUCUAAAUCUCAACGCAGUAAACAGAACAUUCAACAAUGUUUCUGGAACACGGUUGAGAAAAUUUGAAGCUCCUUUGACACCUGGUAGACAGACCCCUUUACAGCUUCAGUUCUUCUGUUGUUUGAAGAAAGUUUCCCAUAAAAAGUUUUCUUUCAAAAUGGUAUUGAUACUGAAAAAUGGCUCACAAGCACUUGUAGUCAUGAUUCACCUGCUCAUAACAACAACACUUUAAAAUUUGUUUCUUCAGAAUUCUCAAACAUUAGAAGUAGACAAUGCGAUAAUAGCUUUAAGCAGAAUGUGCAUGAUUUUUGAAACAAAUCAAGGGUCAUAAGGGAAAAAGUGUUGUCAAAAUUUUUGUGAAACAAAACCAAUUGCUACUGCAGGCUGCUUUAUGACUAUUUGAGUAAACAUAGCUUUAUAUAGUGGCAGUAUCAUUCCAAUGAAGAAUAAUGCUCCAAUACAUAUUGCAAUGAAGUCCCUAUAAAGUUCCAACCAGACUUUGCAAGAUGGCAGCAACUUGUAAAAAAAUGCAUGCAGGGAAUAGAAGCAAUCCAAUUAAAGUUCAUUUUAUGUGACAGUCUACCAUUUGAACAACCAACACAUAUCAUUAAAGGUGCUGAAAAGAUUGUACAUAUAUAAUUUAAUAUUUUUCCAAAUAUAAAGGAUCUCCAAGUAGCAAAGGAUUCUAGUAUGAAAUCAAGACCUUGUCUGGCAGCAAGGAAGUAUUACAUUUAUUCAAUGUAUUGCCUCUUUUGGGAAAACUGAGAAAGGUUGGGUUCGGUUUACAAUAUAAAUUCACAGAGUAAGAUGAACUUGCACUUGCACUUUUUCUGCCAAUUACUAAGUUGAUAUAAAGCUUUAAAAUAUUUAAGGGGUUCCAUUCUAAUGUAUGCGAGGAAUGUUACAUGUUCAGCGCGACAAGAUGAAGAUAGCGAGGAGGAGCAAAGGCUGGCAAAGCGGCAGAAGCAGGCACAGCAGAGGAGGAGGCAGGCAUGGAGAAUUGCGAACGAUAGCUGGUGUUCUUCGUGUCCUUUUCAGAUUCUUCAAUAUACUUAGUAACCACCAAUCACAAACUCUUAUUAGAUGUAUAAAUGAACCUUGACAAUGAUAAAUUUUAUUUAUAAGAUAUAUUAAUUCACUAAACACACAAGACACGAUAUAACCAAUACAAAGAUACAAAUAAUGAGCCAUUAUUAAAUAUUUCAAAUCAUAUGUAAUAGAGGUAAACAUUGUUCUUUAUAUGAUUGAAU